Molecule: long non-coding RNA, 613 nt
Organism: Ornithorhynchus anatinus (platypus)
Lineage: Eukaryota; Metazoa; Chordata; Mammalia; Monotremata; Ornithorhynchidae
Exons: 3
Source: RefSeq, a predicted model, not a curated record
UGUCAAACCCCGCGUGGGCCGGCUCUGGCCGACGGCGGCAAACGCCGAUUGAUUUGUUAUUUAUCCCACUGACAACAAAGAGAGUGAAAAAGUCAUAAUUCUGGGCACUGGGGAAAUUCAAUUCCUGUAGCCCUGUCAGCUACAUUAACUUACUUCCUGGAUCUCAAUUCAAUUAGAGCAACAUUCCCGAGCAUUAAUAAAUCAAUACUCAUGCCAUUUUGAUAUAUUUGGAAUGUCUUUCAUUAUAUAUUUCAGUGCGGGGAUUAUUGUUGAAUUGGAAAUUAAUGAGACAUGACAGGACAGGUAGAAGUUACUGAGGCAGCCUCCCGGAGCUAUAGAACAAUCGUCGUGAUUGCCUGCUCCAGUCGGCGGUUCUGAGAUCCCUACCCCGCCGACCCAUCCCUUGGGACCGUCUCUCUGCCUCUGGGGCGCUUCCGAACGCAGAGUGGAAAGUAAAAGAUGGAGGUGCCCGGAAGCCCAAGAAAGACCCAGUGUUUUACUUGUCCAAUUUCCUCGCGGAGCGUGUGAGGCCCCCAGAUGUCGGGAGUAGGCGAGAACAGGUAAAGUUCCAUCCUUUCUCGAUUCGUUAGAUCCUUCCUCCUCUCCGCCGCCG